This 497-nucleotide ribosomal RNA is filed under the name uncultured bacterium. RNAcentral's name for it is "partial 16S ribosomal RNA". It matches the Rfam family "Bacterial small subunit ribosomal RNA", at positions 28 to 507 of the family's 1533-position model. The record is from RNAcentral.
GAUGAACGCUGGCGGCGUGCCUAAUACAUGCAAGUCGAGCGAACGGACGAGAAGCUUGCUUCUCUGAUGUUAGCGGCGGACGGGUGAGUAACACGUGGAUAACCUACCUAUAAGUCUGGGAUCACUUCGGGAAACCGGAGCUAAUACCGGAUAAUAUUUUGAACCGCAUGGUUCAAUAGUGAAAGACGGUCUUGCUGUCACUUCUAGAUGGAUCCGCGCUGCAUUAGCUAGUUGGUAAGGUAACGGCUUACCAAGGCAACGAUGCAUAGCCGACCUGAGAGGGUGAUCGGCCACACGGGAACUGAGACACGGUCCAGACUCCUACGGGAGGCAGCAGUAGGGAAUCGUCCGCAAUGGGCGAAAGCCUGACGGAGCAACGCCGCGUGAGUGAUGAAGGUCUUCGGAUCGUAAAACUCUGUUAUUAGGGAAGAACAUAUGUGUAAGUAACUGUGCACAUCUUGACGGUACCUAAUCAGAAAGCCACGGCUAACUACGUG